RNAcentral lists this ribosomal RNA (1450 nucleotides) under uncultured organism. RNAcentral describes it as "SSU rRNA". It matches the Rfam family "Bacterial small subunit ribosomal RNA". The record is from RNAcentral.
CUACAGGCUUAACACAUGCAAGUCGAGGGGCAUCAGGAAGAAAGCUUGCUUUCUUUGCUGGCGACCGGCGCACGGGUGAGUAACACGUAUCCAACCUGCCCUUUACUCGGGGAUAGCCUUUCGAAAGAAAGAUUAAUACCCGAUAGUAUAAUGAUUCCGCAUGGUUUCAUUAUUAAAGGAUUCCGGUAAAGGAUGGGGAUGCGUUCCAUUAGGUUGUUGGUGAGGUAACGGCCCACCAAGCCUUCGAUGGAUAGGGGUUCUGAGAGGAAGGUCCCCCACAUUGGAACUGAGACACGGUCCAAACUCCUACGGGAGGCAGCAGUGAGGAAUAUUGGUCAAUGGGCGCUAGCCUGAACCAGCCAAGUAGCGUGAAGGAUGAAGGCUCUAUGGGUCGUAAACUUCUUUUAUAUAAGAAUAAAGUGCAGUAUGUAUACUGUUUUGUAUGUAUUAUAUGAAUAAGGAUCGGCUAACUCCGUGCCAGCAGCCGCGGUAAUACGGAGGAUCCGAGCGUUAUCCGGAUUUAUUGGGUUUAAAGGGAGCGUAGGUGGACUGGUAAGUCAGUUGUGAAAGUUUGCGGCUCAACCGUAAAAUUGCAGUUGAUACUGUCAGUCUUGAGUACAGUAGAGGUGGGCGGAAUUCGUGGUGUAGCGGUGAAAUGCUUAGAUAUCACGAAGAACUCCGAUUGCGAAGGCAGCUCACUGGACUGCAACUGACACUGAUGCUCGAAAGUGUGGGUAUCAAACAGGAUUAGAUACCCUGGUAGUCCACACAGUAAACGAUGAAUACUCGCUGUUUGCGAUAUACAGUAAGCGGCCAAGCGAAAGCAUUAAGUAUUCCACCUGGGGAGUACGCCGGCAACGGUGAAACUCAAAGGAAUUGACGGGGGCCCGCACAAGCGGAGGAACAUGUGGUUUAAUUCGAUGAUACGCGAGGAACCUUACCCGGGCUUAAAUUGCAGUGGAAUGAUGUGGAAACAUGUCAGUGAGCAAUCACCGCUGUGAAGGUGCUGCAUGGUUGUCGUCAGCUCGUGCCGUGAGGUGUCGGCUUAAGUGCCAUAACGAGCGCAACCCUUAUCUUUAGUUACUAACAGGUUAUGCUGAGGACUCUAGAGAGACUGCCGUCGUAAGAUGUGAGGAAGGUGGGGAUGACGUCAAAUCAGCACGGCCCUUACGUCCGGGGCUACACACGUGUUACAAUGGGGGGUACAGAAGGCAGCUAGCGGGUGACCGUAUGCUAAUCCCAAAAGCCUCUCUCAGUUCGGAUCGAAGUCUGCAACCCGACUUCGUGAAGCUGGAUUCGCUAGUAAUCGCGCAUCAGCCACGGCGCGGUGAAUACGUUCCCGGGCCUUGUACACACCGCCCGUCAAGCCAUGGGAGCCGGGGGUACCUGAAGUACGUAACCGCAAGGAUCGUCCUAGGGUAAAACUGGUGACUGGGGCUAAGUCAUAACA